CGGUGCCUACGGGAGGCAGCAGUCGGGAAUAUUGCGCAAUGGAGGAAACUCUGACGCAGUGACGCCGCGUAUAGGAAGAAGUUUUUCGGAAUGUAAACUAUUGUCGUUAGGGAAGAGAAAGGACAGUACCUAAGGAGGAAGCUCCGGCUAACUACGUGCCAGCAGCCGCGGUAAUACGUAGGGAGCGAGCGUUAUCCGGAAUUAUUGGGUGUAAAGGGUGCGUAGACGGGAAAACAAGUUAGUUGUGAAAUCCCUCGGC
This 259-nucleotide ribosomal RNA is filed under the name uncultured bacterium. RNAcentral describes it as "partial 16S ribosomal RNA". It matches the Rfam family "Bacterial small subunit ribosomal RNA", at positions 333 to 608 of the family's 1533-position model. The record is from RNAcentral.